UACGGGGGGGGCAAGCGUUGUUCGGAAUUACUGGGCGUAAAGGGUUCGUAGGUGGCCCGCUAAGUCACACGUGAAAUCCCUCAGCUUAACUGGGGAACUGCGUGUGAGACUGGCAGGCUUGAGUCCGGGAGAGGAACGCGGAAUUCCAGGUGUAGCGGUGAAAUGCGUAGAUAUCGGGAGGAACACCGGUGGCGAAGGCGGCGUUCUGGACUGUAUCUGACACUGAGGAACGAAAGCCAGGGGAGCAAAC
Molecule: ribosomal RNA, 250 nt
Filed under: uncultured Acidobacteriota bacterium
Lineage: Bacteria; Pseudomonadati; Acidobacteriota
Description: uncultured Acidobacteria bacterium partial 16S ribosomal RNA
Rfam family: Bacterial small subunit ribosomal RNA
Source: RNAcentral